UACGGGGGGGGCAAGCGUUGUUCGGAAUUACUGGGCGUAAAGCGCACGUAGGCGGAUAUUUAAGUCAGGGGUGAAAUCCCAGAGCUCAACUCUGGAACUGCCUUUGAUACUGGGUAUCUUGAGUAUGGAAGAGGUAAGUGGAAUUCCGAGUGUAGAGGUGAAAUUCGUAGAUAUUCGGAGGAACACCAGUGGCGAAGGCGGCUUACUGGUCCAUUACUGACGCUGAGGUGCGAAAGCGUGGGGAGCAAACAGG
RNAcentral lists this ribosomal RNA (253 nucleotides) under uncultured bacterium. Its description in RNAcentral is "partial 16S ribosomal RNA". It matches the Rfam family "Bacterial small subunit ribosomal RNA", at positions 524 to 776 of the family's 1533-position model. The record is from RNAcentral.